GUGGGAUUAAUAAAGGAUUAUCUUAUUUUAUCUUAUCUUAAAAAAGAAAAAAAAAACUCCUGGACGCCGAGGCGCAGGAAAACAACCUCUCAUCUGUCUCCUUCACCGAUGGCACAUCAAACGACCCUUCCAACCGUUCGUUUUAUCCACACUGUUUUGCUAAUACUGCAAACAUGACAAGCGAUAUUUAGUAAUCAGUAUUAAAAUAUGAUCAAAAUAGUCACUCAGUGUAGACUCAAACUGUAAUGAAGUUAUGUAGCUAGUUAAGUUACCUUAGUUAGCUAGCGUUAGCUUACUAGCGACGCUAAGCUUGCCUAAACACAGCUAACAGAGCUUGGCCUGCCGUAGAAAUUGUGAAGAGUAGUUAAUCUAGCUAGCUAGCAAAGACUGCUAGUUAACGUUACUCAUGACCAAUCAAAGGAGCUUAUUUUAGCGCAAAAAAAAAAAAAAACAACAACAAAAAAAAAAACACCUGGACGCCACCAGACGAAGCAACCGAAGUUGCUAAACGCCAAAUAACUAGCUAGCUAGGUUAAGAAAGCGUCCCUGUUGGAUUAUGGAACGACGUGCUCAGUCGGUAAGUUUAUUCCUAUUUUUGGUAACGUUAAUACUAAUGUAAACAUCAUUAACAUUAACCUAACGCUAUGUCUUAAUUUUCGUAAUAGUGUUGCCAUGAAGGUAAUGGUAGAUGGUGACUGCACGCUAGCUGGCGAGUUAUUUAGUUAGCUUAUUAGCUAAUGCGUUUGCAUGGAAACAUUUUGAUAACAUUAACUGUAAAAAUCCAAUAUGAUGGUUUUCACGUUCAGCUCUAAACAAUAUCCAGGAUUGGUGUAGUCAUGUUUCUGGAAUUAUCAGUGACAAGUUGGUGGCGCUAGCCCCCAACACAAUUUUUACAUUCGGAAUUGGAUAUAGUUAAUUUAAUGUUAGCUAGAAAAGAAAUGGAUAUGUACUUUAUUUUGUAUGUCCGCUAUAACCUAGGAGUGAUUAGGUAAACUAUAUUGCUAUAGUAUGCAAAAAUCUGUAUCAUCUGGGCUAGUAUUAAUUAACCUACUUUACUUUGUUUUAGGAACUGUUCCUCGGCCAUUUAUUGGAAAGGCUCCAUACUCGACUUCUGAGUUGGCUUGACCGUGUUCCUCUUGAUAUAGAUUACUUAGAAUUUGUGUGUUCACAGGAGCUGGUACUCCUUAGUUCAGUCUCAGCUGAAGUAGAUGUUCCUCAAGAUGUUUAUAAUGCACUUGUGCCAGCCCCAAAGUCACUGAUGCACAUCGAUACAAAUCACAAGUUGAUAAGGUACAACAUGGUGAUCUUUGGAGGCAUAGAUGGCUUCUCCAGGAAGGGUGUGGGGCGAUCAUGGAGCAGAGAACGUUGAUGUGGCUCGUGUUAUCCGUUCGGGGAACAGGAAGGAGUAGCUUCAUUGCAGGCAAAAGCGUCCAUAAUCAAAGCAGUCGCCAGCCACUUCUACAACGUCCUGCAUCAGCUUGAGGAUGAGGGUCAUCUUGAUCUGUCCAACAGCCUGCACAUCUUUUGCUGCCACUAUGCCUUCAUUCCAUGCCUGCAAGCCCACCUUGACAUAUUCAGAGAUGGCUGGGAUAAUCAUUCUAUUUGCACAGAGGGCAACCUCUCUCCCAAUCAGCUGUGGCACCAUGGACAACAAUAUCACUCUCAAGAGUCUGAUGAAAAUCUGAACAUUCCACAAAUAGACUGGGAAAGCAGUGGACUUCUGCCCAGUGAUUCCAACUCUGGCAUCCAGGUCCCUGAAAUAGAAUGCCCACUGACAGCUCAUGAAUUUGCUGGACUAAAGUCUACUGUAGAGCCAAUAAGAGAGUCAACAAGUUUUGGUGCUGAUAUUUAUUUAGCAGCACUGCAGUACAUGCAAAACAUUGGUUACAAUUACUAAAAAAAAACCUCAACUUGUCUAAAGAGCUAUUAAAGGCUGAAUAGUUUUCCUAAAACAUCUACAAGGCUUAAAACAUCUAAAACAUUUUAAACUUGGACAAUGAAAAGGUUUCAGAUGACCCAACAUGUUUAACAUGAAUUGACAAAAAAAAAGUCUUUGUAAGUAAAAUAAAAGGUUGCAUGUUUAAA
Colossoma macropomum (tambaqui) is the source of this 2085-nucleotide long non-coding RNA. RefSeq lists it as uncharacterized. The transcript is spliced from 5 exons. The record is from RefSeq and is a predicted model, not a curated record. NCBI's taxonomy places the organism in Eukaryota, Metazoa, Chordata, Actinopteri, Characiformes, Serrasalmidae.